Molecule: long non-coding RNA, 2746 nt
Filed under: Zea mays
Lineage: Eukaryota; Viridiplantae; Streptophyta; Magnoliopsida; Poales; Poaceae
Description: long non-coding RNA (ZMAY_LNC004014)
Source: RNAcentral
GUGGGCCCUACUAGCUCAUUUUCUCUCCCCCACGUAUUCUUCUCCCUGGUUCGAUUCACCAAAACCGCUCGUCUCUCAGCCUGUCUCGCCGCGCCGUCCAUCUGCCGGAGCUCACCGCUACCGUACGUGCUGAUUCAAGACCCACCGUCCGUCGUCGCGAGGGCGAGGUGAGCCACGUCUUCUUCUUCCUCUCUCCUCUGUCUUCUCUUUCCCAUCCACGCACAGGAGGAGCAGCAGGCCGACGCAUGCCGAGGCUUCCUCGCGUGAGCACCUCGCUCCGUGCCCAACCAGCCCCGUCCGGCUAGCCGUCGGGAGCUCGCCCCUACGCGGGGUGCCUUGCCUGCCACGGAAAAGUUGGUCGAGCGUGCCCCUGCGCAGUCUGUCCUAGCACGAUCGUGGUACAGACUCCCCCUCCGGGUCCCUGUCUGCGCGUGCCCUGUGCGGCCUGGCCGAUGGCGGUCGAGCUUUCCCCUUCCCCUGCGCAGCCCCUGCUCCAUCCCCUAUGGCCAUGGAGUUCCUGCGCGAGAAAGAAGAGAGACACGAAGAAGAUAGCAAUCUCGUAAAUUUAGUACACGCGAAUUACAGCAUACUUUGAAACAAUGAUAACUUUUGCGUUUUAAACCCGAUUCGAUCCAUUCAAGUUGCGUUAGAUUCGUAUUAAAAUUAUCUUAAUUUAGAAAUAUUUAUCCCAUUUUUUGCACAUUUUAUUUAAUAUAGUUAAAUAUUUGUUUAACCAGUGGCUACUAGAACAACGUUUCAAUUUAACAACCUAAUUUAGGAAUUCGAUUUGCGCAUUUAUAAUUAGUCACCAAUAUGAUUAACCUUAACUGAAAUGUUAUUUAUUAAUAAUUAUUUAGUUUAAUCACAUUGUUGAUUUAUUAGUUUCGCAUGUCGGUCCGCGUGUGCUGUGGUGCUGUUUCGCGCACGUCGUCGCGUGUCGUUCGCGAGUGUCACGCGUGUUGUUCGCACGCGUUGUCAUGUGCCGUUCGUGUGUGUCGCGCGCCUUGCCGCGUGCCGUUCGCGCGUAUCGCGCGUUGUCCGCGCGCUAAGUCGUUUGUGUCCGCGCGUUGCGCACAUCGUGUUUACACGUCGUGCGUCGUUAAUUCGUCUCGCUUAAAAUCGCUCAUAUUCAUUAAGUUACUUGCUUAACUGUCAACUAUUAAAAUAGUUAGUCAAAACUAAGUAGUAGUAUUAAUUUACAUUUGGUUAAUAUCAAUUAAUAUAAUUAUGUUGAAUUGGAUGUUCUAAUUAGUACUUGUUUAACGUAAACGCGCUAACCCCUCGACCGUAGCUUCGACUAUCGUGGUUCUUUUCCUCGCGUAACCGUAGAGGCGCUCUCUAUUUUAUAUUGCUCGCUUUUAUAACAUUUUAUCUUGUAUGGUGUAAUGUUCUUAUGCAUAUGUAUAUGUUUGUUUGCUUGUGUCUGUUCGUCUUCGCGUCGCGUUGCGAUUAGAUCGCGGUUCGUUUCAGAGCUCCGAGGAAUCGACGGUCAAGCUUCGGCGACCAAAUGAUCCAGUUCUUUGAGUUCUACGAGAUCGAAGACCCUGAGCAUCUGUUUGGUGAAGGCAAGUGUCCUCUGACCUAUUAUGUCCCAUUUACUUUAUAAUUCAUCAACCCGCAUACCAUGAUCAACCUAAGGAUUGACUAGCUUUGUAUUUACCUUGUCCUUGAUUACCUUUUGGGUUACUAUGGUUAGCAUUCUGCUAUUGCCUCAACUUAAUCAAUGAACAUGAUGUGACUAUUUAUGAUACUGUUAUCCUGAUGAUGUUGAUGAUCUUGUGAUACUCUAGGGGGCUCAGGUUGUUUCCUGAGUACCUCUCCGUAAGGACCUGUUCGUUGAGAGACCACCCGGGAUAACAGUGCAACCAUGAGGGUGGAAUGGGGUGCCCUUAGCUAAUUAAUUAGAGGAACUAGAAGUGUAGUUGCUUCGUCGUCGUGCCGUCAAUGGGGUCCAGGCACAGUGCUUGCUCUGCCGAGGCUGGGUGCCGAGGUUCUUUCGUUUUGCUUUUUAGUCACCCUCCUGCGGGGAGAGGUACUGUGUUUAUCAAACUGGAGAAACCUAACGGGCAGCUAUGACCUCUAGGGAAUCUUUGUAAAGGCUUCGUAGUGAAUCCCUGGCCAUUCACUUUGGGAGUGAAUAAGGGUCUUGCAAGCCCGGGCUAGAGAGGGAAUCACGGCUCAUGGGUAAAGUGUGCGACCUCUGCAGAGGGUAGUGAAACUGAUAUAUCAGCCGUGCUCACGGUUAAGAGCAGCCUUGGGAUCCUCUUUGAUUAGAGAUACAGAUGGUUCGGGAUACAAGGAUUAUGUUAUGGUUUUGGUUCGAAUAUGAUGAUGUUGUUCCUCGAUGAGGAAAUGGUUUACGGGUUGGUUAAUGCUAAAAUCUGGCUUCUACUAAUGAUAAAUACCUGACCAACUAAAAGCAACUGCUUGAGCCUAACCCCACAUAAAGCUAGUCCACUUCAGCCAAACGGGACAUUUGCUGAGUACGUUGAUGUGUACUCAUCCUUGCUUUACCACAAAACACCAGGUUGUCCGCAUUGUAACCACUGCUCCGGAGAAGACGAAGUCGUGGAAGGAGACUUCCAGGAGUUCCAAGACUACGACGAAUUCUAGGUGUGGAUUGGCGGCAACCCCCAGUCAGCUGCCUGUGAAGGCCUUAUCUUUACUGCGUUUCGCUAGCACUUUGAUUUACUUGUUAAGACAAUGACUAUGUGGAUGUCUAUGACUCUAUGAUGUAAUAAGUACU